AGACAGCCAUUUUCUCAACUCGUACCCGC
Molecule: small RNA, 29 nt
Filed under: Bombyx mori (domestic silkworm)
Lineage: Eukaryota; Metazoa; Arthropoda; Insecta; Lepidoptera; Bombycidae
Description: ovarian small RNA-11817
Source: RNAcentral